RNAcentral lists this long non-coding RNA (1068 nucleotides) under Equus caballus (horse). RNAcentral's name for it is "lncRNA (ENSECAG00000029721.2)". The record is from RNAcentral. Lineage: Eukaryota; Metazoa; Chordata; Mammalia; Perissodactyla; Equidae.
CUGAGACCCAAAGUCCUGACUAAUGUGGAGCCCCACGUCCCAGAAAGCUCAGUGCAGUGACCUCUGCUAUUGCCAAAUGCUGACCCGGAGUGGGCCUUUGUCCAGAGUAGUAACCAUGUUACCGAACCCAGAAGGUUUCUGGAGAGUGGAGCUAAGCCACACCCACCCUCCAGUCCUGCAUCCAGUCAACAAAUGCCAAGGACGUCUCUGUGGAACAUCAGGAAAACCUCUAACCAUGAAGCAUGAGAAUUAUGGGGACACAGAAUAUGGUGUGUAUCCGCCUAGGCAUGUGCUUGGAGAGAACCGUGGUGAAACUCCCCGGGACAUCAAUGUUUCUACAGAUGUUUUGCACAAAACUAAACAUUUGAACUGCAAUUUAAUUAUUAGAUCAGCCAUAGGAUCUAGAAGGGAAGAAGGGAAAAUUUUUCCACCCCAACACCACUCAGAGUGUGGUCCGUGGAGCAGCCGCACAGCAUCACUUUCAAGAUCAUUCAAAAUGCAGAGUCUCCGGCCCCACCCCGACCUAUGGAAGCGGAAGGGGACUUUCUAUAUGUCUUCCCCUGCCCACAAGGGUAGGACUAAUAUCCUGGAAGAAUGGAGAUUCCUGGUGUUUCAGUUCAAAGCUUGUUUCCAAAUACUAAGGACCAAAAACAAGACCUAGGGUCCAGACUUUAUUCUGUAAAGCAAGCUACGGCCUGCAGAGGUACAAAUGUACUAACACUGCUUUAAAAUUAAAAGAACUAAUGGAAGAAGUCCAGUUUGAGGGACAGUGGACAUCACGACCUCUAUUUUCUAGUCACUUCAGUCUUGUCUCUGAGCUAAAUUCCUGGAGUGUUCCUGGCAGGUUCUCACACAUAAUACAGAUCCGAGAAUCCAAACGAAGCAGCAAAACACAGAUUGCUCGGCAUGAGGAUGUCUCCAGAGCCUUUCUUUUGAUCCUCACAGGCCAUCUGGUGCUGGUGUAGGAAGAUGGACAAAGAGAUCUGAGAUGAGGAAAAACAUGGAUCAAAAAAAUAACCCAAGGAAAGGAGCAAAAGAGCGGGGAUGGAGCGGGUGGGGACAAGGCUG